GUCGGAUUAGCUAGUUGGUGAGGUAAUAGAUCACCAAGGCGACAAUCCGUAGCUGGUCUGAGAGGACGACCAGCCACACCGGAACUGAGACACGGUCCGGACUCCUACGGGAGGCAGCAGUGGGGAAUAUUGGACAAUGGGGGAAACCCUGAUCCAGCGACGCCGCGUGUGUGAAGAAGGCCUGCGGGUUGUAAAGCACUUUUAGUGGGGACAAAAAGUCACGGAUUAAUACUCUGUGAUCUUGAUUUAACUCACAGAAAAAGCACCGGCUAACUCUGUGCCAGCAGCCGCGGUAAUACAGAGGGUGCUAGCGUUAAUCGGAAUUACUGGGCGUAAAGCGCGCGUAGACGGUUUUGUAAGUCAGAUGUGAAAUCCCCGGGCUCAACCUGGGAACUGCAUUUGAAACUGCAUGGCUAGAGUAUCGAAGAGGGAAGUGGAAUUUCCGGUGUAGCGGUGAAAUGCGUAGAUAUCGGAAGGAACACCAGUGGCGAAAGCGACUUCCUGGUCGAAUACUGACGCUCAUGUGCGAAAGCGUGGGGAGCA
Molecule: ribosomal RNA, 543 nt
Filed under: uncultured bacterium
Lineage: Bacteria
Description: bacterial SSU rRNA
Rfam family: Bacterial small subunit ribosomal RNA
Source: RNAcentral